AGGGGAAAUAAUGCUUGCCUACUACAAACACUGGUAAGAGUUACCCAACAUGAGCAGCUCGUCGUGGUAACUGUUUGACAUGAUAGCAAACUAACCAAGGAUGUAAUCUCCAAGAAAACUAUAUCGACGAGUGAAGAGCCACCAGAGGGGAUGGCACAUGCUGGUGUGAUGGGUGGGGUGGGGUUUGGGGUGGGUCAGUCAUUGGGAACAUCCCUUCCAGUGGCAUCUGCUCUGCCACGUCUGGUGCAAGAAACAGAGAUACAGAAGCUUCUGACUGAUGAGCGUAUACGCAGUGAGCAACACAAGACCAACUACCAGCAGCUAAAAGCAGAACAUAGCAGGCUACAAGAAGAAUACCUGUCUCUUCAAGAAGAAGUAAAAGCAACUGUUGAGGAGAGUCGCAUUGUGCAGGAAAAGUAUCGCUCCAUGUACGAAACUUGCCGACGAGAACUUGUGGACAGGCAGGCCCUGCUUGAUGAUCUCCGGACAAAGGUAAUGACACCUCAGAGGCUGGAGAUUGUGCGAAGUCAGGUGUUGGAGGAGGUGGAACGCAGUUAUCAGGAGCGGUACUUGAAACAAGAACAGGAGGUGGAAGAAGCCAGAGCAGCUGUCAACAGGCUGCGGUAUGAGUUAUCCUUUGUGAAGGCCGAGUACGAGCAUGGCAAGACUGAUUAUGGGAGACAACUGCAGGAACUUAAGAUGCAGCAUGAGCUGGAACUGACCAAUCUUCGUAAAGAACGAGAUGCUACUUUGAGUAAAGUUCAAGCAGAAUCCAGCAGUGAUGCCAACAAAGUGCGUGUUCUUCAGCGUGACAACACUGCUCUUCACAUGCGCUUGAAAGGUCUGCUAGCUGAGGUUGACGAACUGCGAGCAGAGAAAGAAAAAGUCACUCUGGACUCAGACAGCGCACAACGCACCCAGGCCAAGCAGAUCGGUGAAUUGCAGGCAACCAUAAGGUCACUGGAGGUUGAGAGGGAGUCAUUGAAGCGCCAAAAUGAGGCAUUUCAGAAUGAGAUUCUGACCCAUGGUGCUGACAUGGCAAAGCUUCGUGCUAAUGUUCAUGAACUGGAGCGGGACCUAAUGGCAGUGCGUGGCCAGGCGGAGGAAGCAGCCCACCGGGCACAGGUGCAGCUCAGUGACCUCAAACUCGACAUGGUGCGUCAGCGUGGAGAGCUAGAGAAGGAGAGAGACAAGCUGGCCAAUCUUGUUGAGGACCUACGAACACAAGUGGAGAUUGCUGAGCACAAGGUGAGACAGCUGCAGGUGGCACUGGACAACAAGGAACGUGAGUCUGUGCACCGUGUCACGGCUGCUCAUGAAGAAGAGUUUGUCAAGAUAGCCAAGACAGAGAAUGAGAAGUUUGAGCUAGAAACAAAACUCCAGGAAAUGGAACGGCGCAAAAUUGAUGAUGAUGCUCGUCGGCAUGCAGAACAAGAGAAACUUGUCCAGCGCAUGCAGGCAGCACUUGUAGAGAGAGAGCAGGCUGAGAGAGAAGUAGCUGUCUUAAAGGCACGCCUUGAGAAGUAUGACGCAUUACAGGAUCAAGUAGAGCGUGAGAGGAGCGAGAACACAGAACUGAGAGCCAGACUCCAUCAGCUGGAGGUUGAGCAGGCAGCGGCUGUCAGACAGGAGCAGGACCUAACAGAUCAGAUGAUCAAACUCCGUAAUGAGGGAGAGCUGGCACGUGAAGAGCUACGCUUGACUCGGCAACAGCUGAACAAGUUGCAGACCAGCCAAGACCAACUUUUGUCUCAGCAGCGUGUGGCAAUGCAGGAGGAGCGAAGUCAUGCUGACAGUCGCCUCUCUGAGAUGGAGCAAAAGCUGUCUGAGUUGCAGUCCAAAUAUAGUCUGGCUGCUGGCAUACACAAAAAGCUGAAAAAAAAGUACAGCCGAGUUACAGAGUACCUGCGGGACAAAAUAACUGUACUGAAGGUGUCCAACCAUGAGCUGGACCUGGAGAAACAGGUUCUCCACAAGAACACUGUGGCCGCUGAUCAGCAUUUACGACUGAAGAAGCAGUGGAGAGACCUGUAUCAUCGACAUCAAGAGUUCCGCGCCAUUAUCUUGGGCUACUCACCGCGGGAUGUUAUCUUUGGUAAUAAAGGCCUUGUGAAGGGAGACAAUCCAUCAGACUUCACUCUGCCGAACAUGACUUUCAUGGAACAAGAGCUGGAAAAGCAGCAUCAGGAGGACCUGCGCAUGCUGCGAAAGCGCCUGGAUCACCUGGACUACUUGCAGACGGCACAGUUGGAGGAGCUGAGCAACAUUGCCCACUCAACACUGCUGGGAUCACAGGUGGAGCAGCAUGUCGAUGACUGUCCUGAUGGCUCAUUCGAGAAACAUGAUCUUGAGAAACCCACUUCUGCUGUGGAAGAAGUUUUUUGACUUGCAUGUUGCUGGCAGCAGGUGUAUUCUGUUGGAAGGGAAAGGGACAGAGAAGGAGGGUAGUGUGUGAUCUUUGAGAAAUUGCAGACAUCCUCCCUCAUAACCUCUCCUUACUAGGAGCUGUGACUGUGGUUGUAAGGGUCGCCUCUGAGCAAAGGAUGUCUUUAUAUGGGGGUAUUUGAUGUAGUCAGGCUGCCAUUAUCAUGGUGAUUUAAAUGAAGACAGCAUGUGCUGGAAAUAGGAUGAAGUCAUUUCUUAUUUUUGACAGCCUUUUGCAAAAGUUAUUGACCAAGUAAUUUUUGUACAUGCUGACUUACCACAGGAGUUGUAGAAUUGGUUAUUUCUAACCAGUCACAAUGUGAACCUACUCUUUUAAAUCAUAGUCGGGAAAACUACAUAUCAGAUGACCGUAGAGAGGGAAGCAAGUCUAUAGGAACAUUACCAAGCUACUGGCUACUUCACUGUAACAGGCAGUAUUUCAGUUCUGUUAACACAUCUUACAGGCCCGAUGUGAGGAAAAAGGCGAAUUUAGCAAUCUGCAGUUGAGAGUUUAAGAAAUGGAUGACUUGCUUUUUGCUGUCAGUUAUUUGGACUUGCAGGUACUAGAGAUUUUGUUCACAUUUCAGACUGUCCUGGUGUCUUCAGGCCUCAAAAUUAGAAAAACUUGACAUGAAAGGACUCAGAUGCAAUGCUACUCAUUUUCCAUCUGUACUACCUCAAACAUUUCCAUUAUAUCACUUCAAGAAAUCUUACCUUGAAAUAAGAAUUAACCAGCAAAUACUGCAAAAUAAUCAUAAACAAAUUGCAGAUGACCUUUUGAAAACUUAACAAGUGUUUUGACUUAAGCUUGAAAACUGAACUGACAGAAUGACACAUCGGGUGGAUGAUUGCUCUGUUGUAGUAAAAGCAUUUCAGUGCAGCCUGCAUAAUGGCUAGUUAGUAUAGCUGGCAGGUAGCUGUGUACAUAUUUAUCAGUAACCUUUUUUUACGCAGUUCAUGAUACUUGCAUGUUUAUUUACUGCUUUUAAUCUUUUUCAAGUGGGGAGGGGGGAUGUCUGUCUUGUCUGUAGUUUCUGUUUUGUGAGGUUUGUUGCCUUCUUGUACCAUUUCGGGGUAACUUCUAAGUUGAACAUGCUGUUGAAAUAAAGGAAAAAUAUGUGAUGAUCUGCCAUUUAGUGCAUGCUUAAAGAAACCAAGUUGCCACAGCAGUGCUUUUUCGAUCUUGCUUAUAGAAAGAGAUGAUGGCUACAGAAUAUGUUGUAGCCUGUGGUCCCUUUCAUGGAAGUACAGCAGUUGUCUGCUCAUGACCAGAUAUCACACUGGGAUGGGGGGGACUUUAGUGGGUGAUUGGCAAGAUUUUGCAGGGAAAGUGUUUUCUGGUGUCAAAAACAAUGUUCAAAAUGUUGCUGAUUCAGUUAUAUAACUGGGUUUUAUAUUUUAUGACAUGAUCCAGUCAAAACUCAAACGCUUCAUGCUGAAUAUUCCCUUGGAUUGUUCAUUGCUUGUACAGUAGGAUGAUCUAGUGUGCUUGCACUAGUUUGCUAACUGCUUUUCAUGGACCUUUGGUUGCAGGUGUGAUGUCCAGGCCUCAUAAAGCUACCCAGACCAUGAAAAAGCAUUUCCACCAUGCUGAAAGUUUAGAAUAUUUUUUUUAAGCACAGCUUGUCACUGUUACAGGCCAUCAUUCAGAUUCUACAUGAGGGUUCGGGCUGUGUAUUUUUUAUGAUUUACUAAACUGCUUCUUGGAAAAGCAUGUGCACCUAAAUUCAAAACUUGAAGAUCUGAUGUACCUGGCGUGAUGUCACAGACACAAAGUACAUAGUGCAUGUUAGAAAAUCAUUGCCAAGACAAUGGGAACUGGGAUUUUAAUUUUCACUUGAAAGCAAACAACAGCUAUGAUCACAAAUGUCCAGCUAGUAAAUAUUGUGUUAUUUGCUCAUAUUUUAGGACCUUGUAAUAAUGAAACCUAGUAAUUUGAAAUAAUUCUGCAAGUUUAGCUUUUAAAAAGAAAAAAGUAUAUAAAUCAUCCCUCCCCCACCAAAACAAAGACCAAACAGUUUUUGGAGGGUUAGAAGUAAGAAGUAUGUAAGAAGUGUGUGACUGCAUCAUGUUCAAGAUAAUCUUAAUUUCAAAAGCAAAGAUUAUUUGAUACCACGACAACAGCAAAAUGAAGCUGUAAUACCAACCCUUGGAUGACCAUAAUUUACAAGACAAUAAUACCUGCUGCCAAACAUCUGACUCUACUUGUGCUUUUUGAAAGACGAAAACUGACUUCUGAGAAAUAUCCCUUGACCACCAUUUGGCUGCAUGAUGCUACUGACAGUUGUUUGUAUAAGCUCCUGUUUAUAAAUAAAGCUUUAAUGCAGGAAAA
This 4756-nucleotide unclassified non-coding RNA is filed under the name Pomacea canaliculata. RNAcentral's name for it is "centrosomal protein of 83 kDa-like, transcript variant X3". Lineage: Eukaryota; Metazoa; Mollusca; Gastropoda; Architaenioglossa; Ampullariidae. The record is from RNAcentral.